RNA transcript from Nycticebus coucang (slow loris), 1235 nucleotides. It is a transcript of the gene named prohibitin-2-like, with no coding region annotated. The record is from RefSeq and is a predicted model, not a curated record. Lineage: Eukaryota; Metazoa; Chordata; Mammalia; Primates; Lorisidae. The transcript has a single exon.
GCCUCAGGAUCAGAUAUGGCCCAGAAUUUGAAAGACUUAGUGGGACGGCUGCCCACCGGACCCUGGGGCGUGGGCACAGCGCUGAAGCUGCUGUAGGGAGCUGGCGCCAUGGCCUACCAUGUCCACGAAUCUGUGUUCACCGUGGAAGGAGGACAGAGAGCAAUCUUCUUUCAUCGGAUCGGUGGCGUGCAGCAGGACACCAUUCUGGCCGAGGGCCUUCACUUUAGGAUCCCCUGAUUCCAGUACCCAUAAUCUAUGACAUUUGGGCCAGACCUCGAAAAAUCUCCUCCCCCACAGGUUCCAAAGACCUGCAGAUGGUAAACAUCUCCCUGCGGUGCUGUCUCGGCCCAAUGCCCAGGAGCUUCCUAGCACAUAUCAGCGUCUAGGGCUAGACUACGAGGAACGAGUGUUGCCCGUACAUUGUCAAUGAGGUGCUCAAGAGUGUGGUGGCCAAGUUCAAUGCCUCACAGAUGAUCACUCAGCGGGCCCAGGUGUCCCUACUGAUCUGACAGGAGCUGACCGAGAGGGCCAAAGACUUCAGCCUCAUCCUGGAUGAUGUAGCCAUCACGGAGCUGAGCUUUAGCUGAGAGUACACAGCUGCUGUAGAGGCCAAACAAGUAGCCCAGCAGGAGGCUCAGCAGGCCCAGUUCUUGGUAGAAAAAGCAAAGCAGGAGCAGGGGCAGAAGACUGUACAGGCUGAGGGAGAAGCUGAGGCUGCCAAAAUGCUUGGGGAAGCACUGAGCAAGAACCCUGGCUACAUAAAACUUCGCAAGAUCCGGGCAGCCCAAAACAUCUCCAAGAUGAUUGUUGCAUCACAGAAUCGUAUCUAUCUCAUUGCUGACCACCUUGUGCUGAACUUACAGAAUGAAAGUUUCACCCGGGGAAGUGACAGCCUCAUCAAGGGUAAAAAAUGAGCCAGAGAUUCAAGAAGUCCACCCCCUAGAGCAAGUGGAUCUCUUCUCCAAUUUUCAAGGAGCUAGCUAGAUGUCCAGCAUACUCCCAGUUCACCCCCAAUAUCAUGUGAUGGUCCCCUGCACCCACACUGGCCUCACUGCCCCUCUUGAACUAAAGAAGACUGACGAUCACCCCUUUUUCUGAGGAACGACUUUCCUCGUGUUGGCCAAGGGUGUUGGGACAGUGUGUUAUUUCUCAGUGAUUUCCUAGUGCUUUUUCCUCCCUCAAGGUUGGGAGACGAUAACCACCAACCCAGGAAUUCUCAAUAAAUUUUUAUUACU